Non-coding RNA from Hippopotamus amphibius kiboko, 73 nucleotides. The record is from the annotation of a RefSeq genome assembly. Lineage: Eukaryota; Metazoa; Chordata; Mammalia; Artiodactyla; Hippopotamidae.
UUCCCUGUGGUCCAGUGGUUAGGACUCAGCACUUUCACUGCUGUGGCCCAGGUUCAAUCCCUGGUCAGGGAAU